CAACAGUUCAGAUGAAAAUAUCCCAUUCCUAACUCCUUCCCUGACAUUGCCCAAGUGGCAGGAAGAAUUAUUUGAGAUGAAUUCCUUGGUUUUUAAAUUGAUUUUGUGUCCCGUAGGUUUCCUCCGUAAAGUGGGGAUAAUCCGCAUGAGGAUGCAAAAAUGUAACAGUUAAUGCCGGCAGUAAGCUCUGAAGAUAAGUACCUUAAAGAGAGUGGAGGAAUUGGCAUCUAACACAAUUCAAAAGGGUCAGGCCCUUGUGGGGAGCUGGAGGUCAACACCAGGCUGCAGCAUGCUGCCACAUGCAGUCUCUCGCCAGGUGACCUGGAGAACAUGCUGCUUGCUUUUCUGCCUCAUCAGGCUUGUUCAUCCAUGCUAAGACUAGGCUUACCAAGAGCACAGAUCAACGAGACCAAUAUGGUACUCAUCCCUUCCUUUGAUGGGCCCAUACAAAUUAAUGUGCUUGCACAAGACGGGGCCCUGGGACAGCUGUCUCCUGUAGGCAACGGAUGCUAUUCCCAGCAGGAGUGCUAG
Molecule: long non-coding RNA, 531 nt
Filed under: Struthio camelus australis
Lineage: Eukaryota; Metazoa; Chordata; Aves; Struthioniformes; Struthionidae
Description: lncRNA (ENSSCUG00000011513.1)
Source: RNAcentral